This 138-nucleotide non-coding RNA is filed under the name Alicyclobacillus acidocaldarius. Its description in RNAcentral is "FMN sequence". It matches the Rfam family "FMN riboswitch aptamer (RFN element)". Rfam says of the family: The RFN element is a highly conserved domain that is found frequently in the 5'-untranslated regions of prokaryotic mRNAs that encode for flavin mononucleotide (FMN) biosynthesis and transport proteins. This element is a metabolite-dependent riboswitch that directly binds FMN in the absence of proteins. In Bacillus subtilis, the riboswitch most likely controls gene expression by causing premature transcription termination within the 5' untranslated region of the ribDEAHT operon and precluding access to the ribosome-binding site of ypaA mRNA. RNAcentral also lists the same sequence under 1 other name. The record is from RNAcentral. Lineage: Bacteria; Bacillati; Bacillota; Bacilli; Caryophanales; Alicyclobacillaceae.
AGGAACCUUCGGGGCAGGGUGAAAUUCCCGACCGGCGGUGAUGGCUUCGUGCCUAAGCCCGCGACUCGCCAUGUUGUGGCGACGGAUUUGGUGAGACUCCAAAGCCGACGGUGAAAGUCCGGAUGGGAGAAGGUUCGC